RNAcentral lists this ribosomal RNA (334 nucleotides) under uncultured eukaryote. RNAcentral's name for it is "partial 18S ribosomal RNA". It matches the Rfam family "Eukaryotic small subunit ribosomal RNA", at positions 1470 to 1796 of the family's 1831-position model. The record is from RNAcentral.
CCCUUAGAUGUCUGGGGCCGCACGCGCGCUACACUGAAGGAAUCAGCGUGGCUUUCUCCCUGACCCGAAAGGGUUGGGAAACCCGUUGAAUCUCCUUCGUGAUAGGGAUUGGGGCUUGAAAUUGUUCCCCAUGAACGAGGAAUUCCCAGUAAGCGCGAGUCAUAAGCUCGCGUUGAUUACGUCCCUGCCCUUUGUACACACCGCCCGUCGCUACUACCGAUUGAACGGUUUAGUGAGGGCCUCGGAUUGGUCUCGGCCCGCUCUUUACCGGGCGGCGCCGUUGGUCGAGAAGACGCUCGAACUUGAUCGUUUAGAGGAAGUAAAAGUCGUAACA